AUGGGACUACAUUCCUGCAGUCAGACACUAAUCGAGUCUGAUUCAGUGAUCCUCAAACCUGAUCAGUCUCAUAAACUGACCUGCACAGCUUCUGGAUUGGACAUUAGUAGUUACUGGAUGGCUUGGAUCCGACAGUCUUUUCUAAAAGACAUAGAUAUCCUCUAUGUGCAUGGCAUCAGUCUGACCCCGUCUCCUGCUGAGGUUAAACCUCUCGGAGCUUCAGUGAAGUUGUCCUGUCAGAUUUCUGGCUAUGCCCUCACUAGCUACAGCACAGGCUGGAUCAGAAAGCCUCCAGGAAAAGGCUUGGAGUGGAUCGGGAUCAUAAGGGGUGGUGGAGACAUAGCCUCUGGAGCUUCCUUUAAAACUCUCUUCAGCAUCUCCAGAGACAUGAGCAACAAUGUGCUUUACUUAGAUAUCAGCAGCCUGCUGCCAGAAGACACAGCUGUUUAUUAUUGUGCAAAGAUGCACAGCUGUACAUCUCAGUGA
This is a non-coding RNA of Ictalurus punctatus (channel catfish), 486 nucleotides long. The record is from the annotation of a RefSeq genome assembly. Lineage: Eukaryota; Metazoa; Chordata; Actinopteri; Siluriformes; Ictaluridae.